This 245-nucleotide unclassified non-coding RNA is filed under the name Hevea brasiliensis (rubber tree). Lineage: Eukaryota; Viridiplantae; Streptophyta; Magnoliopsida; Malpighiales; Euphorbiaceae. The record is from RNAcentral.
AUUUAAUUCUUUUAUUACAAUAGCCAAACCCAAUUAUUGGCCUAGUAAUUAAAUUGAUUUAGCUGCUAAAGCCAAGAAACGUCAGUUUUCCACGUUUCAUUUGAGUGAUAGAAAGCAAGCUUUAACGAUUAUUUCAUGAAGAUUCAGGGAUACAACAACGCAGAACUUGGUAAAAAUCGUCUUCUCAUUCUUGGGCAUGAGAUAGGCUACAAACAACGCCCCAUCCAAGCAUCGGAUCACUAUUA